GUGAGAAUAGACAGAUUAUGGUGUGUGAGUGUUGUUUAGUACAGAGAGUGGUCGGAUUGAAAGAGAACAGAGUGAAGAGAGUAAGUGAGAAUUAAAGAGACUGCAAUGGAGAAUAAGAGAGAUUAAGUGAGAUUUGAGAGAGUAUGAGAGAGAUUCUUGUAACCAGAGAUUAGGGAGAGUAUAAGAGACUUGAGAAUGGUGAAGAAGAAAGGGGAAACUCCCCCAUUCAGCUUGAUUUCGUAAUGGUUACAAUGGGGUGGCUUUAUAGCCAAAUUACAAGUUGCAAGUGAUUAAACAAUUGUUAAAGUACAGAUUUACUAAACUAAUACUAUUGUAGGGUUUCUGAUGGAGCCAGGAGGAUGCAGCCAAGGAGAAUCUCGACCAGAGGGAGUAGAGAGUGACAGGAGAGAGAUGGGCACAGUCUGGUUGGGUGAAAGUGACAGCAGGCUCAUCUCCUUAUGCACAUGUGACUUUUAUCUUAAUUAAUUCUCCAACUUGCCAGAUCUCUCUCCAACGGUCUCACACUUAAUUUAAACUUCA
This 540-nucleotide long non-coding RNA is filed under the name Brassica rapa (field mustard). RNAcentral describes it as "long non-coding RNA (BRAP_LNC008090)". Lineage: Eukaryota; Viridiplantae; Streptophyta; Magnoliopsida; Brassicales; Brassicaceae. The record is from RNAcentral.